This 72-nucleotide transfer RNA is filed under the name Ornithorhynchus anatinus (platypus). It matches the Rfam family "tRNA". Rfam says of the family: Transfer RNA (tRNA) molecules are approximately 80 nucleotides in length. Their secondary structure includes four short double-helical elements and three loops (D, anti-codon, and T loops). The record is from Rfam by way of RNAcentral. Lineage: Eukaryota; Metazoa; Chordata; Mammalia; Monotremata; Ornithorhynchidae.
AGCAGAGUGGUCUAGUGGGAAGAAUAUAGGCCUGGGAGUCUGAGGACCUGGGUUCUAAUCCUGGCUCUGCUA